CUGUCGCUCACUACCGCCUCCUUGGAACACGUGUCUCCCAGAACCGCCCCUGCGUAGGCUUCCAACUACGUGUUUCCUCCUUGCACCAAAGGACAAUACUGACUCGGGGCUUGAAAACCAAUCACAGAAAUCUACCACCAUUGUUUUCUACUCUCAUGAUUACUUCAUGACCAAAGAUGGCUGCUAGUGGUCCAGCCAUCUUGUCUGAGUCCCAGGCAAGACUAAAGAAGAGAGCGAAGACUAAAGAAGAGAGGGAAAUCUAAAGGAAAGGAAUGUGCCAGCAGACUCUUCUCAUUUACAGAAGCCUUCCUUCCUACUGGAAUAUAAACCUGGAGAGAGCCAGUUUCAACCAUGUGGAUGAAGACAAUACCCAGGGAGAUGAUAAGCAAAGAGAUGGAAGAAACCCAGUGUCUGAAUGAAACCCAGGCCUCUGCUUUCACGGAGCAGAGCCCCCUAGGCCUGCUGUAGUCCUCUUACCCAAGACUUAUGAAAUAGAAAUAAACUUCUUAUUUAAGUAACUACA
Long non-coding RNA from Lemur catta (Ring-tailed lemur), 523 nucleotides. RefSeq lists it as uncharacterized. The transcript is spliced from 3 exons. The record is from RefSeq and is a predicted model, not a curated record. Lineage: Eukaryota; Metazoa; Chordata; Mammalia; Primates; Lemuridae.